RNAcentral lists this transfer RNA (73 nucleotides) under Mus musculus (house mouse). It matches the Rfam family "tRNA". Rfam says of the family: Transfer RNA (tRNA) molecules are approximately 80 nucleotides in length. Their secondary structure includes four short double-helical elements and three loops (D, anti-codon, and T loops). Further hydrogen bonds mediate the characteristic L-shaped molecular structure. tRNAs have two regions of fundamental functional importance: the anti-codon, which is responsible for specific mRNA codon recognition, and the 3' end, to which the tRNAs corresponding amino acid is attached (by aminoacyl-tRNA synthetases). tRNAs cope with the degeneracy of the genetic code in two manners: having more than one tRNA (with a specific anti-codon) for a particular amino acid; and 'wobble' base-pairing, i.e. permitting non-standard base-pairing at the 3rd anti-codon position. The record is from Rfam by way of RNAcentral. Lineage: Eukaryota; Metazoa; Chordata; Mammalia; Rodentia; Muridae.
GGGAAUGCAGUUUAUUUGGUAGAGGGCCUGCCUGGCAUGUAGGAAGUCCUGGGUUCUAUCCCCAGCAUCCUUG